This 192-nucleotide non-coding RNA is filed under the name Streptomyces avermitilis MA-4680 = NBRC 14893. RNAcentral's name for it is "Streptomyces avermitilis MA-4680 Streptomyces sRNA 4677". It matches the Rfam family "Streptomyces sRNA 4677". From Rfam's summary of the family: Located in the intergenic region between anti-sigma factor SCO4677 gene and a putative regulatory protein gene SCO4676. scr4677 expression requires the SCO4677 activity and scr4677 sRNA itself seem to affect the levels of the SCO4676-associated transcripts. Lineage: Bacteria; Bacillati; Actinomycetota; Actinomycetes; Kitasatosporales; Streptomycetaceae. The record is from Rfam by way of RNAcentral.
CAGACCGGUGGCCUCGCCCCCACAAGACUCGACGACGCGGCGGCUCACUCACACGGAUGAACCGUCUCGAUCACCCGGGCGAUGACCGAACUCCCGACCUAGGCUCGCGCCACAACAUCAAACAGGACGGCCCCCGGCCGGGACGGCAAUCCCGACCGAGGGCCUGACCAGCAAGGAAGGACCAUCUUCCUC